UAGGGAAUCUUCCACAAUGGACGCAAGUCUGAUGGAGCAACGCCGCGUGAGUGAAGAAGGUUUUCGGAUCGUAAAGCUCUGUUGUUAGUGAAGAAGGAUAGAGGUAGUAACUGGCCUUUAUUUGACGGUAAUCAACCAGAAAGUCACGGCUAACUACGUGCCAGCAGCCGCGGUAAUACGUAGGUGGCAAGCGUUGUCCGGAUUUAUUGGGCGUAAAGCGAGCGCAGGCGGAAGAAUAAGUCUGAUGUGAAAGCCCUCGGCUUAACCGAGGAACUGCAUCGGAAACUGUUUUUCUUGAGUGCAGAAGAGGAGAGUGGAAUUCCAUGUGUAGCGGUGGAAUGCGUAGAUAUAUGGAAGAACACCAGUGGCGAAGGCGACUCUCUGGUCUGCAACUGACGCUGAGGCUCGAAAGCAUGGGUAGCGAACAGG
Molecule: ribosomal RNA, 429 nt
Filed under: bacterium
Lineage: Bacteria
Description: partial 16S ribosomal RNA
Rfam family: Bacterial small subunit ribosomal RNA
Source: RNAcentral